UGUGAGGCUAGUGUGUAGGCAAAUCCGCACACUAUUAGGCUGGGCUGUGAUGGGGAGCGAAAAUUGUAGUAGCGAAGGUCAUGUACUCCGGCUGUCAAGAAAAGCCUCUAGUGAGAUCUAGGUGCCCGUACCGCAAACCGACACAGGUAGGCGAGCAGAGCAUGCUAAGGCGCGCGGAAGAACUCUCGUUAAGGAACUCGGCAAAAUGACCCCGUAACUUCGGGAGAAGGGGUGCCUCGGUAGGGUUUAUAGCCCGAGGGGGCCGCAGUGAAAAGGCCCAAGCGACUGUUUAGCAAAAACACAGGUCUGUGCGAAGCCGUAAGGCGAAGUAUACGGGCUGACGCCUGCCCGGUGCUGGAAGGUUAAGGGGAGCGGUUAGGGGUAACCCGAAGCUGUGAACCGAAGCCCCAGUAAACGGCGGCCGUAACUAUAACGGUCCUAAGGUAGCGAAAUUCCUUGUCAGGUAAAUUCUGACCCGCACGAAUGGCGUAACGACUUGGGCGCUGUCUCAACGAGAGAUCCGGUGAAAUUUUAAUACCUGUGAAGAUGCAGGUUACCCGCGACAAGACGGAAAGACCCCAUGGAGCUUUACUGUAACUUGAUGUUGGACUUUGGUACGAUCUGUACAGGAUAGGUGGGAGCCUUUGAAGCAUGAGCGCCAGCUUGUGUGGAGGCAUCGUUGGGAUACCACCCUGAUCGUAUCGGAGUUCUAACCUGCUGCCGUGAAACCGGCAGAGGGACCGUGUCAGGUGGACAGUUUGACUGGGGCGGUCGCCUCCUAAAAUGUAACGGAGGCGCCCAAAGGUUCCCUCAGAAUGGUUGGAAAUCAUUCGAAGAGUGCAAAGGCAUAAGGGAGCUUGACUGCGAGACCUACAAGUCGAGCAGGGACGAAAGUCGGGCUUAGUGAUCCGGUGGUACCGAAUGGAAGGGCCAUCGCUCAACGGAUAAAAGCUACCCUGGGGAUAACAGGCUUAUCUCCCCCAAGAGUCCACAUCGACGGGGAGGUUUGGCACCUCGAUGUCGGCUCAUCGCAUCCUGGGGCUGAAGUAGGUCCCAAGGGUUGGGCUGUUCGCCCAUUAAAGCGGUACGCGAGCUGGGUUCAGAACGUCGUGAGACAGUUCGGUCCCUAUCUGUCGCGGGCGCAGGAAAUUUGAGAGGAGCUGUCCUUAGUACGAGAGGACCGGGAUGGACGUACCGCUGGUGUACCAGUUGUUCCGCCAGGAGCACCGCUGGGUAGCCAAGUACGGACGGGAUAAGCGCUGAAAGCAUCUAAGCGUGAAGCCCCCCUCAAGAUGAGAUUUCCCAGUAUGUAAGACCCCUUGAAGACGACGAGGUUGAUAGGUUCGGGGUGGAAGCACAGCAAUGUGUGUAGCUGACGAAUACUAAUCGGUCGAGGGCUUAUCCAA
Molecule: ribosomal RNA, 1406 nt
Filed under: metagenome
Description: bacterial LSU rRNA
Rfam family: Bacterial large subunit ribosomal RNA
Source: RNAcentral